AGAAUCAACGCUGGCGGCGUGCCUAACACAUGCAAGUCGCACGAGAAAGGGACUUCGGUCUUGAGUAAAGUGGCGCACGGGUGAGUAACACGUGAAUUAUCUACCUCCGAAUGGGGAAUAACUGAGAGAAAUCUUAGCUAAUACCGCAUAAUACCUACGGGUCAAAGCAGCAAUGCGUUUGGAGAGGAGUUCGCGGUCGAUUAGUUAGUUGGCGGGGUAAUGGCCCACCAAGACGAUGAUCGAUAUCCGGCCUGAGAGGGCGCACGGACACACUGGAACUGAAACACGGUCCAGACUCCUACGGGAGGCAGCAGUGGGGAAUUUUGCGCAAUGGGGGAAACCCUGACGCAGCAACGCCGCGUGGAGGAUGAAAUAUCUUGGUAUGUAAACUCCUUUCGAUGGGGAAGAUAAUGACGGUACCCAUAGAAGAAGCCCCGGCUAACUUCGUGCCAGCAGCCGC
RNAcentral lists this ribosomal RNA (460 nucleotides) under uncultured bacterium. Its description in RNAcentral is "SSU rRNA". It matches the Rfam family "Bacterial small subunit ribosomal RNA", at positions 26 to 518 of the family's 1533-position model. The record is from RNAcentral.